GUGGGGAAUAUUGGACAAUGGGCGAAAGCCUGUUCCAGCCAUGCCGCGUGUGUGAAGAAGGUCUUCGGAUUGUAAAGCACUUUAAGUUGGGAGGAAGGGUAGUAACCUAAUACGUUGCUACUUUGACGUUACCGACAGAAUAAGCACCGGCUAACUUCGUGCCAGCAGCCGCGGUAAUACGAAGGGUGCAAGCGUUAAUCGGAAUUACUGGGCGUAAAGCGCGCGUAGGUGGUUCAGUAAGUUGGAAGUGAAAUCCCCGGGCUCAACCUGGGAACUGCUUUCAAAACUGCUGAGCUAGAGUACGGUAGAGGGUGGUGGAAUUUCCUGUGUAGCGGUGAAAUGCGUAGAUAUAGGAAGGAACACCAGUGGCGAAGGCGACCACCUGGACUGAUACUGACACUGAGGUGCGAAAGCGUGGGGAGCAAACAGGAUUAGAAACCCGGGUAGUCC
This 450-nucleotide ribosomal RNA is filed under the name uncultured bacterium. RNAcentral describes it as "partial 16S ribosomal RNA". It matches the Rfam family "Bacterial small subunit ribosomal RNA", at positions 354 to 796 of the family's 1533-position model. The record is from RNAcentral.